Molecule: ribosomal RNA, 505 nt
Filed under: uncultured bacterium
Lineage: Bacteria
Description: partial 16S ribosomal RNA
Rfam family: Bacterial small subunit ribosomal RNA
Source: RNAcentral
GACGAACGCUGGCGGCGUGCCUAAUACAUGCAAGUAGAACGCACAGUUUAUACCGUAGCUUGCUACACCAUAGACUGUGAGUUGCGAACGGGUGAGUAACGCGUAGGUAACCUGCCUGGUAGCGGGGGAUAACUAUUGGAAACGAUAGCUAAUACCGCAUAAUAUUAAUUAUUGCAUGAUAAUUAAUUGAAAGGUGCAAUUGCACCACUACCAGAUGGACCUGCGUUGUAUUAGCUAGUAGGUGAGGUAACGGCUCACCUAGGCGACGAUACAUAGCCGACCUGAGAGGGUGAUCGGCCACACUGGGACUGAGACACGGCCCAGACUCCUACGGGAGGCAGCAGUAGGGAAUCUUCGGCAAUGGACGAAAGUCUGACCGAGCAACGCCGCGUGAGUGAAGAAGGGUUUCGGAUCGUAAAGCUCUGUUGUAAGAGAAGAACGGGUGUGAGAGUGGAAAGUUCACACUGUGGCGGUAUCUUACCAGAAAGGGACGGCUAACUACGUG